Molecule: ribosomal RNA, 253 nt
Filed under: uncultured bacterium
Lineage: Bacteria
Description: partial 16S ribosomal RNA
Rfam family: Bacterial small subunit ribosomal RNA
Source: RNAcentral
UACGAAGGGGGCUAGCGUUGCUCGGAAUCACUGGGCGUAAAGGGCGCGUAGGCGGCUGAUCAAGUCGAGGGUGAAAGCCCGUGGCUCAACCACGGAAUGGCCUUCGAUACUGGUUGGCUUGAGACCGGAAGAGGACAGCGGAACUCCGAGUGUAGAGGUGAAAUUCGUAGAUAUUGGGAAGAACACCGGUGGCGAAGGCGGCGACCUGGUCCUUGACUGACGCUGAGGCGCGAAAGCGUGGGGAGCAAACAGG